GUCCACGCCCUAAACGAUGUCUACUGGUUGUUGGGGAUUUCGAUCCUUGGUAACGAAGCUAACGCGAGAAGUAGACCGCCUGGGGAGUACGGCCGCAAGGUUAAAACUCAAAGGAAUUGACGGGGCCCGCACAAGCGGUGGAUGAUGUGGAUUAAUUCGAUGCAACGCGAAAAACCUUACCUGGUCUUGACAUGUCUAGAAUCCCUUAGAGAUAGGGGAGUGCCGCAAGGAACUAGAACACAGGUGCUGCAUGGCUGUCGU
This 261-nucleotide ribosomal RNA is filed under the name uncultured bacterium. RNAcentral describes it as "partial 16S ribosomal RNA". It matches the Rfam family "Bacterial small subunit ribosomal RNA", at positions 793 to 1055 of the family's 1533-position model. The record is from RNAcentral.